UAGACCGCCUGGGGAGUACGGCCGCAAGGUUAAAACUCAAAUGAAUUGACGGGGGCCCGCACAAGCGGUGGAGCAUGUGGUUUAAUUCGAUGCAACGCGAAGAACCUUACCUGGUCUUGACAUCCACAGAAGUUUCCAGAGAUGGAUUUGUGCCUUCGGGAACUGUGAGACAGGUGCUGCAUGGCUGUCGUCAGCUCGUGUUGUGAAAUGUUGGGUUAAGUCCCGCAACGAGCGCAACCCUUAUCCUUUGUUGCCAGCGAUUAGGUCGGGAACUCAAAGGAGACUGCCAGUGAUAAACUGGAGGAAGGUGGGGAUGACGUCAAGUCAUCAUGGCCCUUACGACCAGGGCUACACACGUGCUACAAUGGCGCAUACAAAGAGAAGCGACCUCGCGAGAGCAAGCGGACCUCAUAAAGUGCGUCGUAGUCCGGAUUGGAGUCUGCAACUCGACUCCAUGAAGUCGGAAUCGCUAGUAAUCGUGGAUCAGAAUGCCACGGUGAAUACGUUCCCGGGCCUUGUACACACCGCCCGUCACACCAUGGGAGUGGGUUGCAAAAGAAGUAGGUAGCUUAACCUUCGGGAGGGCGCUUACCACUUUGUGAUUCAUGACUGGGGUGAAGUCGUAACAAGGUAACCGUAGGGGAACCUGCGGUUGGAUCACCUCCUUACCUUAAAGAAGC
This 680-nucleotide ribosomal RNA is filed under the name Salmonella enterica subsp. enterica serovar Anatum. Its description in RNAcentral is "bacterial SSU rRNA". It matches the Rfam family "Bacterial small subunit ribosomal RNA", at positions 865 to 1533 of the family's 1533-position model. Lineage: Bacteria; Pseudomonadati; Pseudomonadota; Gammaproteobacteria; Enterobacterales; Enterobacteriaceae. The record is from RNAcentral.